Molecule: long non-coding RNA, 455 nt
Filed under: Cricetulus griseus (Chinese hamster)
Lineage: Eukaryota; Metazoa; Chordata; Mammalia; Rodentia; Cricetidae
Description: lncRNA (ENSCGRG00015031991.1)
Source: RNAcentral
CAAGAUUUCAAAAGUCUACGCCUGCCAUUCUCUGCUAGCUCUCUCCGCCUCGCCUUUGUGGACCGAGAUGCAAGCUCUCAGCUCCGGCUCCAGCGCCAUGCCUGCAGGCUGCCAUGCUCCCCACAACAAUGGCCAUGGACUCUCUGAAAUUGAGGUUCUAGAGCCACCCUCGAGUUCCAGAGAUCCAGAUCUCAGACUUCAGCCAGUGCUGUCAGGACCAAGACGAGCUGCCUCUGCUGGAAUGCCAGCCCCUACGGCACAAGACUGGCUCUGCCAGCGGCCUUCUCGGUGCUUCCUGGGGAGAGCUGACUCACAGGCCGUUGGUGAAUGCUGCAGAGACCACAAGCAACAGCAAACCAAGCGGGUUGUUUUCAGUGCUAACCACCCUGACACAAAGGGUCUGCAGCAUUCUUCAGGGGCUUCUCGGGAGCACUAAAAAGAUCCUUCACUGCUUC